AUGGGCAUUAGGGUCUUCUGUUGGGUCAUCUUUUAUCUCCUGGGGAUAGACCUCACUAACGCUGGAGUUUCCCAGUCUCCCUUGUACAGAAUUAUAAAGAGGGGACAAGAUACAGCCCUUGAGUGUGAUCCAGUUUCUGGCCACAGAGGUCUUUACUGGUACCGACAGAACCUGGGGCAAGGUCCAGUGUUCAUGGUGUCUUUCCUGUAUGAGCUUUUAUCAGACAAAUCUGGGAUGUCUAAUGAUCGGUUCUCUGCAGUGAGGCCUGAGGGCUCCAUCUCCACUCUGAAGAUCCAGUCUACAGAUGAAGAGGACUCAGGCAUAUACCUCUGUGCCAGCAGCUUAACCACAGCAUGGCACAGGUGUUUCCUUCCUGCUCACAAACCCCUGGCUUCAUUCUUCUCACAGUGCGUAGAGUUCUUAGGCAGAUUCAAGCUUCACUUGCCCUUUAAACAAAGCCAUUACCAGGAAAUUCACUAA
This is a non-coding RNA of Alexandromys fortis (reed vole), 480 nucleotides long. NCBI's taxonomy places the organism in Eukaryota, Metazoa, Chordata, Mammalia, Rodentia, Cricetidae. The record is from the annotation of a RefSeq genome assembly.